This is a long non-coding RNA of Homo sapiens (human), 581 nucleotides long. RefSeq lists it as uncharacterized. The transcript is spliced from 3 exons. NCBI's taxonomy places the organism in Eukaryota, Metazoa, Chordata, Mammalia, Primates, Hominidae. The record is from RefSeq and is a predicted model, not a curated record.
CUUCUACGUCUGCCCGCCCAUCUGUUCCGACCCCAGAUUAGAGAAGGAGUUGUCACCGGUGGCAUGCUGGAGGCUUGAGCCUGCAGCAGCAUGGCUCGCCUCACUGUGGCUGGUGGCAGUGAGGUAGAGUACAGCACAGCCAAAGUGGUAGAAAGGUGGCAGAGUAGGUGAGCUAUCCAGGGACUUGUGGCGGGGGGAGAGGGGCAGUGAGCUCAGGGGCCAAGGAUUGGAUGCACUAUCGUGAACUACACUGCCCAAGGCUUUUCUGGCUUUGCCCAUCCAGUUGCUCCGUGCCAGGAGAAGGAGUAGCCACCUGCACAUGCUGGAGGCUGGAGCCAGGGACACCACGGCUUGCCUCGCUGUGGUUGGCGUGGUGGCAGCGAUGGAGACUGCAGAGUGCCAGAGAGGACCUUGGUGCUUGUAGCAUCUACCUACCUCCUGUCGUUGUGAUGAGGACACUUUGAAAACGGGAUGGGAGCUACAUAUGCAAAAGAUGCCAUACAGAUGCUAUAUUAACCUGCAUUAUAGUCCCACAAAUUAAAAUGUAUUCCUUUGAUAAAAAUAAAAACAUUAAAACCCCA